Molecule: long non-coding RNA, 1345 nt
Filed under: Equus caballus (horse)
Lineage: Eukaryota; Metazoa; Chordata; Mammalia; Perissodactyla; Equidae
Description: lncRNA (ENSECAG00000048013.1)
Source: RNAcentral
UUUACAUGUUACAAAAUUCGAAAAAGUUCAAAAAAGAUUAACAACUUUAAAAAACUAAGCUUUUUUCCCACAUUUGUCUUCCCAGACCCUAAAUUCCUCUUCAGAGACAAGUAUUAUGAACAUUUCUUGCAGUCUUCUAGACCCAUCUGUGUGCAAACGUGUGCUCACACAUUGUAUGUGAUUCCAUUACUAAUGUCUGAUGUGGGCCCACUGUUUAAAAUUCCCGUUGUAUUUCACAGCCAUCUAUCCAUGUCAAUGAAUACAAAUUCACAUUUAAAGCUGCAAAUAUAUGCCGGGAGACUAAUACCCGAGGAAGGAGGGAACUGAAGGAAUUUCCCCAUGUGUCUCCUUAGUACUAACAAUAGUAGGCUCAGAGGAAGCUCACGUCUUGUGAGUAGAUGCACACAAACGCACACACACAUGCACUCACAUACACAGUUGCAUAGCUUCGAGGUCUCCGUAGCCUCAAAGGUUUGGUUCAGGUUGGUCUCAAAUACAGCCCAGUUUCCCUCUUCGAGUACAGAUACAUAAUUUUUGGAGAGCAACAUCUCUUACUAUUGCUUCCAGUGAAAAACACAUUUAAUGCACUUUGUAUAUUUUGUAAGCUUUAUUCAAACGUGCUAUUUGUGUAGCCGUUCUGUUGUUUCUUUUUCCUUUUCUAGUCCUUGAACCACUGUAAAGUGAGUCUCCAAUAAAUAAAAUUACAUCAAUAACAAAAUCUGAUCUUUAGAAAUUAUGAAGCUUUCCAAAGCUGACUUCAUGUUUAUUUCUUGUUGGUAUUACCGUGCCAUAUAACAACAAAUUAUUACCUAAAGCCAUAAAUUUCUCACAUGAGCUAACUGAUGUAAAUUAUUAAUAGUGCUAAAAGCAGGACAUUCAUUUUACAAGCUCUACUAAGGUUUAAUAGUGGCAAUUGCCAUUAUUUAAUUUACUAAAUAAUGCAUUUAUCUAAGAUAUUUAUAGGUACACUGUCUUGAUAAUAUGUAUUAUUUUAGUGAUUAAGUUUUCCUGUCAUUUCCAAAAAUAUAAGGCUUAUAUAAUUCUUUUGAUACUCAAGUAAAUAAUAUACUCAAAGAUUCUCUGUGUGUGUGCGUGUCUAUGUGUAUGCGUGAGGGAUGAUAUUCUCCAGUACUGAAUACCAGCACCUCAUUUGUGGAGGGAAACUGACAUUCCUUUGCUCCAGUAAAUUAAUAUUCCAAAAGUGAAUGCAUCUUAACUCAAAAUAGUGUACCUGGCUCAAGGGACUAAUUUAGUAAUACCAACAAGCUCAUUUUAAAUGAAAUCUGACAAGGAGAGAAAAAACGUGGAAGAGAAAGGAAGAACCAUUUGUGAAUUUAUUAGUGAG